Small nucleolar RNA from Nannospalax galili (Upper Galilee mountains blind mole rat), 124 nucleotides. Its record names the gene SNORA63. It matches the Rfam family "Small nucleolar RNA SNORA63". Rfam says of the family: E3 belongs to the H/ACA class of snoRNAs and is involved in the processing of eukaryotic pre-rRNA and has regions of complementarity to 18S rRNA. The record is from Ensembl. Lineage: Eukaryota; Metazoa; Chordata; Mammalia; Rodentia; Spalacidae.
AAGCAGGAUUUAAGUACAGUAUAGCUGUUAAGUGCUAUGUUGUUGUUCCCCCUGCUAAAAACAGUGUUGUUUCUUAACUAUGCCUGGAUACCUGUAGCGGCCAGGGAUGCUUGGUCUCACGUAU